GGCAAGAAAAAAACAGCGGCAGCUUGCGCGGCCUGUAACCGCGUUGCCGGAGGUUCGACUCCUCCCCCUGCCC
Molecule: transfer RNA, 73 nt
Filed under: Spirochaetaceae bacterium
Lineage: Bacteria; Pseudomonadati; Spirochaetota; Spirochaetia; Spirochaetales; Spirochaetaceae
Description: tRNA-Thr
Rfam family: tRNA
About the family: Transfer RNA (tRNA) molecules are approximately 80 nucleotides in length. Their secondary structure includes four short double-helical elements and three loops (D, anti-codon, and T loops).
Source: RNAcentral